This 171-nucleotide ribosomal RNA is filed under the name Mycolicibacterium fortuitum. RNAcentral's name for it is "partial 16S ribosomal RNA". It matches the Rfam family "Bacterial small subunit ribosomal RNA", at positions 60 to 235 of the family's 1533-position model. The record is from RNAcentral. Lineage: Bacteria; Bacillati; Actinomycetota; Actinomycetes; Mycobacteriales; Mycobacteriaceae.
AGUCGAACGGAAAGGCCCUUCGGGGUACUCGAGUGGCGAACGGGUGAGUAACACGUGGGUGAUCUGCCCUGCACUUUGGGAUAAGCCUGGGAAACUGGGUCUAAUACCGGAUAGGACCACGCGCUUCAUGGUGUGUGGUGGAAAGCUUUUGCGGUGUGGGAUGGGCCCGCG